AGAGUUUGAUCAUGGCUCAGAUUGAACGCUGGCGGCAGGCCUAACACAUGCAAGUCGAGCGGUAGCACAGGAGAGCUUGCUCUCUGGGUGACGAGCGGCGGACGGGUGAGUAAUGUCUGGGAAACUGCCUGAUGGAGGGGGAUAACUACUGGAAACGGUAGCUAAUACCGCAUAACGUCUUCGGACCAAAGUGGGGGACCUUCGGGCCUCACGCCAUCAGAUGUGCCCAGAUGGGAUUAGCUAGUAGGUGGGGUAAUGGCUCACCUAGGCGACGAUCCCUAGCUGGUCUGAGAGGAUGACCAGCCACACUGGAACUGAGACACGGUCCAGACUCCUACGGGAGGCAGCAGUGGGGAAUAUUGCACAAUGGGCGCAAGCCUGAUGCAGCCAUGCCGCGUGUGUGAAGAAGGCCUUCGGGUUGUAAAGCACUUUCAGCGAGGAGGAAGGGCAGUGUGUUAAUAGCACAUUGCAUUGACGUUACUCGCAGAAGAAGCACCGGCUAACUCCGUGCCAGCAGCCGCGGUAAUACGGAGGGUGCAAGCGUUAAUCGGAAUUACUGGGCGUAAAGCGCACGCAGGCGGUUUGUUAAGUCAGAUGUGAAAUCCCCGCGCUUAACGUGGGAACUGCAUUUGAAACUGGCAAGCUAGAGUCUUGUAGAGGGGGGUAGAAUUCCAGGUGUAGCGGUGAAAUGCGUAGAGAUCUGGAGGAAUACCGGUGGCGAAGGCGGCCCCCUGGACAAAGACUGACGCUCAGGUGCGAAAGCGUGGGGAGCAAACAGGAUUAGAUACCCUGGUAGUCCACGCUGUAAACGAUGUCGACUUGGAGGUUGUGCCCUUGAGGCGUGGCUUCCGGAGCUAACGCGUUAAGUCGACCGCCUGGGGAGUACGGCCGCAAGGUUAAAACUCAAAUGAAUUGACGGGGGCCCGCACAAGCGGUGGAGCAUGUGGUUUAAUUCGAUGCAACGCGAAGAACCUUACCUACUCUUGACAUCCAGAGAAUUCGCUAGAGAUAGCUUAGUGCCUUCGGGAACUCUGAGACAGGUGCUGCAUGGCUGUCGUCAGCUCGUGUUGUGAAAUGUUGGGUUAAGUCCCGCAACGAGCGCAACCCUUAUCCUUUGUUGCCAGCACGUAAUGGUGGGAACUCAAAGGAGACUGCCGGUGAUAAACCGGAGGAAGGUGGGGGAUGACGUCAAGUCAUCAUGGCCCUUACGAGUAGGGCUACACACGUGCUACAAUGGCGUAUACAAAGAGAAGCGAACUCGCGAGAGCCAGCGGACCUCAUAAAGUACGUCGUAGUCCGGAUCGGAGUCUGCAACUCGACUCCGUGAAGUCGGAAUCGCUAGUAAUCGUAGAUCAGAAUGCUACGGUGAAUACGUUCCCGGGCCUUGUACACACCGCCCGUCACACCAUGGGAGUGGGUUGCAAAAGAAGUAGGUAGCUUAACCUUCGGGAGGGCGCUUACCACUUUGUGAUUCAUGACUGGGGUGAAGUCGUAACAAGGUAACCGUAGGGGAACCUGCGGUUGGAUCACCU
RNAcentral lists this ribosomal RNA (1532 nucleotides) under Serratia quinivorans. RNAcentral describes it as "bacterial SSU rRNA". It matches the Rfam family "Bacterial small subunit ribosomal RNA". The record is from RNAcentral. Lineage: Bacteria; Pseudomonadati; Pseudomonadota; Gammaproteobacteria; Enterobacterales; Yersiniaceae.